This 603-nucleotide ribosomal RNA is filed under the name Paragymnopleurus sp. dgi1. RNAcentral's name for it is "eukaryotic LSU rRNA". It matches the Rfam family "Eukaryotic large subunit ribosomal RNA", at positions 688 to 1251 of the family's 3401-position model. The record is from RNAcentral. Lineage: Eukaryota; Metazoa; Arthropoda; Insecta; Coleoptera; Scarabaeidae. RNAcentral also lists the same sequence under 1 other name.
GAGUCAUUGGGACUAAACUAAACCUAAAGGCGCAAUGAAAGUAAAGGUCCGCCUCGCGCGGACCGAGGGAGGAUGGGUCGGCACUCGUGCCAGCCCCGCACUCCCGGGGCGUCUCGUUCUCAUCGCGAGAAGGGGCGCACCCAGAGCGUACACGCUGGGACCCGAAAGAUGGUGAACUAUGCCUGGUCAGGACGAAGUCAGGGGAAACCCUGAUGGAGGUCCGUAGCGAUUCUGACGUGCAAAUCGAUCGUCGGAACUGGGUAUAGGGGCGAAAGACUAAUCGAACCUUCUAGUAGCUGGUUCCCUCCGAAGUUUCCCUCAGGAUAGCUGGCGCUCGCUGUUGCGAGUCUCAUUCGGUAAAGCGAAUGAUUAGAGGCAUUGGGGCCGAAACGGCCUCAACCUAUUCUCAAACUUUAAAUGGGUGAGAUCUCCGGCUUGCUUGAAAAGUGAAGCCGCGAGUAUCGGAUCAGAGUGCCAAGUGGGCCACUUUUGGUAAGCAGAACUGGCGCUGUGGGAUGAACCAAACGCCGAGUUAAAGCGCCUAAAUCGACGCUUAUGGGAUACCAUGAAAGGCGUUGGUAACUUAAGACAGCAGGACGGUGG